Molecule: non-coding RNA, 484 nt
Organism: Drosophila virilis
Lineage: Eukaryota; Metazoa; Arthropoda; Insecta; Diptera; Drosophilidae
Source: RefSeq, a predicted model, not a curated record
GAGAGUGAGUGAGUGGGUUUGAUAUGGCUAUUGAGUCAUUUCUAUCGAUAAGACAGAAGCUUUUUGAUAAGCAGCCAAAGUUGGGUUAGGUCAAGGAAAAAAAAAUUUUCUUAUCGGAGCUUGUUUUUGCUUUUAAUUUCCUACACGGUGUGCUGUUUAUGAUUACCAAACUACCCGCAGCGCUGUGUAAAUACGGUUGCAGAAGCAGUCGAAGGAGCAGAAGGAGCCGCACUUUCGAUCUCUGUCUGUGGCAUUUGGAUGAUUAAUGUGUUUACACGAGCAGCGACCGUUGCGGUUGAGUCUGAUUUGAAAGGGUUAAAAGGCGUAAACACAUAGACACACACUCACACACACUCACACCCACGAUUUACACGCACACACACACAGCAAAAUACUGUUUAUUUAUUAUUCCUUCAUUGGAAUUUACUCUCACAUGGGAGCAAGAUAUUAAAAACGCUCAGUUGACCUUUUACCCAUUUUUUCA